GGUGGUGGGAGGGUUUAUAAAUAACCAGUGAGUUUUUCUACCAUUGGAGUUUGAGUAGGAGGCAAAGUUUAUCUCAUUCUCCGCAUUCACUAAGGGCUCUGCCUCAAUGAAUUUGAGAGUAGAUCUUUGGGCCAGACUCCAACUGUAGGCUAGGCCAAAGAGCAGGUCACUUGGCUAGUCCAGAAAGCAAAAAAGCAUUUGCUUUUAUUAUGGGGCACUAAGGGCUGCUAAUAUUUGAUAAAUGUGGGAACGUGGAGAAAGCUAACCAAGCUCCAGCAAGCUCUGAAGG
RNAcentral lists this long non-coding RNA (289 nucleotides) under Elaeis guineensis (African oil palm). Its description in RNAcentral is "long non-coding RNA (EGUI_LNC009198)". Lineage: Eukaryota; Viridiplantae; Streptophyta; Magnoliopsida; Arecales; Arecaceae. The record is from RNAcentral.